RNAcentral lists this unclassified non-coding RNA (350 nucleotides) under soil metagenome. RNAcentral describes it as "partial contains 5.8S ribosomal RNA, internal transcribed spacer 2, and large subunit ribosomal RNA". The stretch from base 3 to 120 matches the Rfam family "5.8S ribosomal RNA", at positions 37 to 154 of the family's 154-position model. The record is from RNAcentral.
GGUGAAGAACGCAGCGAAAUGCGAUAAGUAAUGUGAAUUGCAGAAUUCAGUGAAUCAUCGAAUCUUUGAACGCACAUUGCGCCCGCCAGUAUUCUGGCGGGCAUGCCUGUUCGAGCGUCAUUUCAACCCUCAAGCCCAGCUUGGUGUUGGGGAUCGGCACAGGCGCCCUCGGGCGCCCGCCGUCCCCUAAAUCUAGUGGCGGUCCCGCUGCAGCCUCCUCUGCGUAGUAGUUUUCUCCUCGCAAGGGCAGCUCGGUGGCGACCUCGCCGUAAAACCCCCAACUUCUGAAAGGUUGACCUCGAAUCAGGUAGGAAUACCCGCUGAACUUAAGCAUAUCAAUAAGCGGAGGA